UAGGGAAUUUUCCACAAUGGGCGAAAGCCUGAUGGAGCAAUGCCGCGUGCGGGAUGAAGGUUUUCGGACUGUAAACCGCUUUUAUAUAUGAAGAUUAUGACGGUAGUAUAUGAAUAAGGAUCGGCUAACUACGUGCCAGCAGCCGCGGUGAUACGUAGGAUCCGAGCGUUAUCCGGAUUUAUUGGGCGUAAAGAGUUGCGUAGGCGGCUAAGUAAGCAAAUAGUGAAAGAGCGUGGCUUAACCAUGUAAGCAUUAUUUGAACUGCUUUGGCUAGAGAGCGGAAGAGGUAGCUGGAAUUAUUAGUGGAGGAGUAAUAUCCGUAGAUAUUAGUAAGAACACCAAUGGCGAAGGCAGGCUACUGGUCCGUUUCUGACGCUCAGGCACGAAAGCGUAGGUAGCA
This 400-nucleotide ribosomal RNA is filed under the name uncultured bacterium. RNAcentral describes it as "bacterial SSU rRNA". It matches the Rfam family "Bacterial small subunit ribosomal RNA", at positions 355 to 770 of the family's 1533-position model. The record is from RNAcentral.